This 1434-nucleotide long non-coding RNA is filed under the name Ursus americanus (American black bear). Its description in RNAcentral is "lncRNA (ENSUAMG00000022405.1)". The record is from RNAcentral. Lineage: Eukaryota; Metazoa; Chordata; Mammalia; Carnivora; Ursidae.
GAGAGAGGAAAGGUCUGAUGGAAGUCAGAACAGAGAAGGGCAAGGAAUGGUAGAAACAGAGUCAGAAGUGGGCAGAGAGCAAGCAGAAGGAUAAAGACAGGAUAAAGUAAGAAAGAAGCUAGUCCAAGGGGCACAGGGAGGAAACGGCCAAGCAGGACCAGGACCGAAAGUCGAGGAGAGCCCGAGAGCGUCAGCGUGUGGAGAAGGAGCUGGAGAGGGAGCGCCCCAUCUCGGCUCCCGGCGCGGAGCUGAAGCCCGGGCGGCAGGAGCCGGGGAAGGGCGCCCGAGGCAGCGCCCGGCGAGCGGAGAUGGAGCGGGUGGGCUGAGGUACCCGGAGCAACUCCGUCUCGGCCAAGCGCACGUCUGGCGACCGUGGCAGAACAGGCCAGAGUGCCCGGAUGGUGGGAGAGAUCAGUGUGUCUCCACGUUCCCCACACACAGAGCUCUGAGAACUGCAGCUGCAACCAAAGAGAAGUCCUUUAAAGAGCCCCUGGUCCCUGAGGCUCCAAAGCUCCCACUGCGCUGGGUAAGGAUGAGGUGAGACAGCUGGGAAGUGGGAGGACGUGUUCAUUCCACUGAGAGGGAGUCCGAUGGUCCUCAUGGGCAUUAGAAGACAUAAGGCAGAUAGAAGAUAAGAAAGGACCUGAUCAAGUUAAAAAUGGAUCCAUAUAAUUAAAGUGAUGGUGCAUGUGUGUGAUUUUAAAAGUGUUCCAAGGCUUUUUUUCCCCUAAAAUUAUAAAAGUGUCAUUAGCUAAUUGUCAUGAAUAGCAGCUAUGACUUCUUUUUUCAUGGCCCUAUCUUAUGACUGUGUGACCAGGGUCAAAACAGGUAACCUCUCUGUGCCUCUCUUUCUCCAUCCAGCUUCCUGUCCUUUAUUUAUUUAUUUAUAUUGAGAGAGAGCAAGCUGAGGAGGGGCGGAGAGAGAGAAUCUUAAGCAGGCUCCGCACUGAGUGUGAAGCCUGAUGUGGGGCUCGAUCUCACAACCCUGAGAUGGUGACUGGAGCCAAAAUCAAGAGACAGAUGCUUAACCAACUGAGCCACACAGGCGCCCCUCCUGUCUUACUUUUCUCAGUCAACGUGUGCAAUAAUACUUUGGAUCUCCAUCAGCGGUGUUACCGAUAUUGUUAAUAAGAUUCAAGAACAAAUAUGUUUUUCCACUCCUAGGUGGAAAGAGAGUUGAAAACAUUCAUCCAUACAAAGUAGUAGUAUUGUUCAAGAUAACGAAAAGGGGGGCGCCUGGGUGGCACAGCAGUUAAGCGUCUGCCUUCAGCUCAGGGCGUGAUCCUGGCGUUCUGGGAUCGAGCCCCACAUCAGGCUCCUCCGCUAUGAGCCUGCUUCUUCCUCUCCCACUCCCCCCGCUUGUGUUCCCUCUCUCGCUGGCUGUCUCUCUCUCUGUCGAAUAAAUAAAUAAAAUUUUUUUUAAAAUAAUGAAAA